AUUCAUGGUUAAUUCAUCAUGACUGUAUUGUAUUUGAUGAUGUUAGUGAUGCCAACACUUUGUUGAAGCCUGUGACUCUCAUGCCCCUGGAAGUGACCUUCAACCUAUCUACGCAGCAAUAGCAUGAGGAUGUCCUUGCUACCGUAACAGCGCAUCCACUACCUGAUGAUGACGACGCUCUGAUCGAGUAGAGAGAUCAUAAGUUGAUUUUGCUCUGUACAAGAGUUUUCUACUUUUAGGUGAAAGGCUUUAUAUUCAGGCUGGAAUGUUUUCCUUGGAUCAAGAACUAUUGUGUGACAUUGAUCUACAUCUUUGCCAUGGAUUUCUUGGCCACAUUGAUAUGUUACUUACUGGUUCAUUAGUAUUAUUAUGCAUCCCAGCUUACUAUG
Molecule: long non-coding RNA, 389 nt
Organism: Lolium perenne
Lineage: Eukaryota; Viridiplantae; Streptophyta; Magnoliopsida; Poales; Poaceae
Source: RefSeq, a predicted model, not a curated record